This 72-nucleotide transfer RNA is filed under the name Leptocephalus sp. 'type II larva'. RNAcentral's name for it is "tRNA-Trp". It matches the Rfam family "tRNA". Rfam says of the family: Transfer RNA (tRNA) molecules are approximately 80 nucleotides in length. Their secondary structure includes four short double-helical elements and three loops (D, anti-codon, and T loops). Lineage: Eukaryota; Metazoa; Chordata; Actinopteri; Anguilliformes; Nettastomatidae. The record is from RNAcentral.
AGGGACUUAGGAUAGAACUAAGACCAAAAGCCUUCAAAGCUUUAAGCAGGAGUGGAAAUCUCCUAGUCCCUG